Molecule: ribosomal RNA, 549 nt
Filed under: Bifidobacterium bifidum
Lineage: Bacteria; Bacillati; Actinomycetota; Actinomycetes; Bifidobacteriales; Bifidobacteriaceae
Description: bacterial SSU rRNA
Rfam family: Bacterial small subunit ribosomal RNA
Source: RNAcentral
AAAACGGGUGGUAAUGCCGGAUGUUCCACAUGAUCGCAUGUGAUUGUGGGAAAGAUUCUAUCGGCGUGGGAUGGGGUCGCGUCCUAUCAGCUUGUUGGUGAGGUAACGGCUCACCAAGGCUUCGACGGGUAGCCGGCCUGAGAGGGCGACCGGCCACAUUGGGACUGAGAUACGGCCCAGACUCCUACGGGAGGCAGCAGUGGGGAAUAUUGCACAAUGGGCGCAAGCCUGAUGCAGCGACGCCGCGUGAGGGAUGGAGGCCUUCGGGUUGUAAACCUCUUUUGUUUGGGAGCAAGCCUUCGGGUGAGUGUACCUUUCGAAUAAGCGCCGGCUAACUACGUGCCAGCAGCCGCGGUAAUACGUAGGGCGCAAGCGUUAUCCGGAUUUAUUGGGCGUAAAGGGCUCGUAGGCGGCUCGUCGCGUCCGGUGUGAAAGUCCAUCGCUUAACGGUGGAUCUGCGCCGGGUACGGGCGGGCUGGAGUGCGGUAGGGGAGACUGGAAUUCCCGGUGUAACGGUGGAAUGUGUAGAUAUCAAAAAAAAAACACCCA